Heterocephalus glaber (naked mole-rat) is the source of this 1662-nucleotide long non-coding RNA. The record is from Ensembl. NCBI's taxonomy places the organism in Eukaryota, Metazoa, Chordata, Mammalia, Rodentia, Bathyergidae.
CGCAGCUGGGGCGCGGGGCGUGAGGCGCGGGGCAGGCCCCGGCCGGGAGGAGGACAGCGCCCGCCCAGCCUGGCGUCCCCGACUCCCCUGCGCGACCCCUGCGGCAGGACCGGGCCGGGGCGUCGGGCGAAGGCAGCAGCUGGGAGGCUGGCGCCGCGAGGUUCUUACUCUGGACUCUGCCGGCCCCAGCCCGGCACCGGGCGCCCCUCAGUUUCCCGCGGAGCCCACACCCGCCUGCCCGCACACCCCAGGCUACAGUUCGCCCUCGCCCUUCCCCGGACCUAGCGCGCCUGAGACCUGAAGGAGCCCGGGCGCUCUCGCCGGAUAAAUACGCGCGAGCCUGCAGACGCACGCCUGCGCGGCCUCGAUGAAAUCCCGGACUUCUCCCGGCUCGGCCACCCGGUUUAGAAACUCCUCUCCGCCCCGCUCAGACGGGACGCGGAGCUGGAUCUGCUGCCCGCGGCCCCGAGCUGCGGCCUGCAGCCCUGCUGUUCUCCCCUCCAUGUCUCCAGGCCAACCCCAAUCCCGCGUCCCAGGUGCCUGCCAUGGCCUGCCCUUGACAACAGUUGGUAAAAAGGUGGGCUGAAGGGAACGAGCUCCAGGGAGAUGAACGCCCUGGCUCCAGGGCCCCAGGCCUCUCUCCUCCCCUGACGGUUCUGGCACCGACGCCCGCUCUCCGGUGCCUGGAAAACAGGAUCCUCCAGGUGGCAAGAUCUUCUGCUCAGAACCGUCUGUCUCGCCUGAAGCCGUGCGUCUCGGGGCCUGGCCUGCCUGCCUCCAUCACGAGCUCGGAGUGGUCUUCACAUCUGCCCUGUGUGUCCCUCUCAAUUCCUGUCUCCCAAUCCUAGUACCUGGGCGAAGGUAUCAGGAGAUGGGCUUUGGGAGGGAGUUAAAUCCUGAAGGUAGAGCCGGCCCAAGUGGGAUUAGCGCCUUUAUAAGAAGCGACACAAGAGCUUAUUCUUUCUUUCUCUGCCGUGCAAGAAAGCGAGGCUGAGGAGGUCAGCUGCAGAGCCGGAAUCAGACCUUCCCAGACACAACCCCACCAGCACCUUGAGGCUGGGCUCCCUCCCCUUGGAACUGGACACGAAAAUAAAUGCCCGCAGUUCAAGCCACACUCUACCGUAUUCUGUUACAGGGCUUGAACUUCAUACCCUUCCAUUCCCAUAUCGACCACUUCCCUAAUUAAACGCUUAGUGGCUUCGUGCAGCCCUGAGGCUUAGGUCCAAAGCCCUCCCCGGGGUCACUUGCGGCAGGAUCGGCUCUGGGCGGCCCCCUGGGUCUUCUGUCUCAGCAGCCUCCUUUCCCUGUCCCCUUGGCCUGUGCCAGGACUCAGCAUGGCCGGCGUCCUGCUCGUCGUCCAGGUGCCCUUCCGUCUGCCGCAGCACCCUGUCGUCCUUCCCCUCCUGUGAUGUUGGCCCCACACGCUGUCCUUUACUCCUGGGCUCUCUGCUUUCCCUCCCACAGUGAGACCCUUGUGAUGGUGGCUUCAUUGCCCAGUGCGGUACCUGGUGCCAGCUAGGAACACGUACAUUUGUAUUAAAUGAAUAAAAGCUCUGAAUGUGACACGGUCUCCAGAGGAGAGGCUCUGGGGCAGCUGUGAUGUGCUGCCAGAUGUGAUGGCCCAGACCACUGCUUUUCAGCAACAGCGUCACUGUUUUCAAG